AUACGUAGGUGACAAGCGUUAUCCGGAUUUACUGGGCGUAAAGGGCGUGUAGGCGGUCUUGCAAGUCAGAAGUGAAAUUCCUGAGCUCAACUCGGGCGCUGCUUCUGAAACUGCAGGACUUGAGUGCUGGAGGGGAUAGCGGAAUUCCUAGUGGAGCGGUAAAAUGCGCAGAUAUUAGGAAGAACACCGGUGGCGAAGGCGGCUAGCUGGACAGUAACUGACGCUGAGGCGCGAAAGCGUGGGGAGCAAACAGGAUUAGAUACCCUGGUAGUCCACACUGUAAACGAUGAAUGCUAGGUGUAAGAGGUAUCGACCCCUUUUGUGCCGGAGUCAACACAAUAAGCAUUCCGCCUGGGGAGUACGGCCGCAAGGUUGAAACUCAAAUGAAUUGACGGGG
RNAcentral lists this ribosomal RNA (397 nucleotides) under uncultured bacterium. Its description in RNAcentral is "partial 16S ribosomal RNA". It matches the Rfam family "Bacterial small subunit ribosomal RNA", at positions 523 to 918 of the family's 1533-position model. The record is from RNAcentral.